GCGGGAGGAAUGUAGCUUCUCCGGAAGUGUUAUAGCCUCUGGUAGAUGUGACAACUGAGAUUGAGGAUUGCAACGAAUACCCUCUGGGCUACUUGUCUGGCCUCUGGUCGUCGCUUUGGUGCUGAAAGCGUGCUUAUGGUAUUAAAGUAGAUGGUCAAAAGGUUAGAACGGGUUAAAUUCGUUAAGGAUGUUGACGUAAUGACUUUAAACGA
This 212-nucleotide ribosomal RNA is filed under the name Rhizophagus sp. (in: glomeromycetes). RNAcentral describes it as "Rhizophagus sp. (in: Fungi) partial large subunit ribosomal RNA". The record is from RNAcentral. Lineage: Eukaryota; Fungi; Glomeromycota; Glomeromycetes; Glomerales; Glomeraceae.